ACAUGCAAGUCGAGCGGAUGAGUGGAGCUUGCUCCAUGAUUCAGCGGCGGACGGGUGAGUAAUGCCUAGGAAUCUGCCUAGUGGUGGGGGAUAACGUUCGGAAACGGACGCUAAUACCGCAUACGUCCUACGGGNGAAACGGGGGAUCUUCGGACCUCGCGCCAUUAGAUGAGCCUAGGUCGGAUUAGCUAGUUGGUGAGGUAAUGGCUCACCAAGGCGACGAUCCGUAACUGGUCUGAGAGGAUGAUCAGUCACACUGGAACUGAGACACGGUCCAGACUCCUACGGGAGGCAGCAGUGGGGAAUAUUGGACAAUGGGCGAAAGCCUGAUCCAGCCAUGCCGCGUGUGUGAAGAAGGUCUUCGGAUUGUAAAGCACUUUAAGUUGGGAGGAAGGGUAGUAACCUAAUACGUUGCUACUUUGACGUUACCGACAGAAUAAGCACCGGCUAACUUCGUG
RNAcentral lists this ribosomal RNA (458 nucleotides) under uncultured bacterium. RNAcentral describes it as "bacterial SSU rRNA". It matches the Rfam family "Bacterial small subunit ribosomal RNA", at positions 53 to 507 of the family's 1533-position model. The record is from RNAcentral.